RNAcentral lists this ribosomal RNA (468 nucleotides) under uncultured bacterium. RNAcentral describes it as "partial 16S ribosomal RNA". It matches the Rfam family "Bacterial small subunit ribosomal RNA", at positions 28 to 507 of the family's 1533-position model. The record is from RNAcentral.
GACGAACGCUGGCGGCGUGCUUAACACAUGCAAGUCGAACGGAAAGGCCCUGCUUUUGUGGGGUGCUCGAGUGGCGAACGUGUGAGUAACCCGUGAGUAACCUUCCCUUGACUUUGGGAUAACUUCAGGAAACUGGGGCUAAUACCUGAUAGGAGCUCCUGCUGCAUGGUGGGGGUUGGAAAGUUUCGGCGGUUGGGGAUGGACUGGCGGCUUAUCAGCUUGUUGGUGGGGUAGUGGCCUACCAAGGCUUUGACGGGUAGCCGGCCUGAGAGGGUGAACGGCGACAUUGGGACUGAGAGACGGCCCAGACUCCUACGGGAGGCAGCAGUGGGGAAUAUUGCACAAUGAGCGGAAGCCUGAUGCAGAAACGCCGCGUGCGGGAUGAAGGCCUUCGGGUUGUAAACCGCAUUAGCCUGUGACGAAGCGUGAGUGACGGUAAUGGGUAAAGAAGCACCGGCUAACUACGUG